RNAcentral lists this ribosomal RNA (460 nucleotides) under uncultured bacterium. RNAcentral's name for it is "partial 16S ribosomal RNA". It matches the Rfam family "Bacterial small subunit ribosomal RNA", at positions 338 to 795 of the family's 1533-position model. The record is from RNAcentral.
CCUACGGGUGGCAGCAGUGAGGAAUAUUGGUCAAUGGACGCAAGUCUGAACCAGCCAUGCCGCGUGCAGGAAGACGGCUCUAUGAGUUGUAAACUGCUUUUGUACGAGGGCAAACUCAGAUACGCGUAUCUGUCUGAAUGUAUCGUACGAAUAAGGAUCGGCUAACUCCGUGCCAGCAGCCGCGGUAAUACGGAGGAUUCAAGCGUUAUCCGGAUUUAUUGGGUUUAAAGGGUGCGUAGGCGGUUGGAUAAGUUAGAGGUGAAAUCCCGAGGUUCAACUUCGGAAUUGCCUCUGAUACUGGUAGGCUAGAGAGUAGUUGCGGUAGGCGGAAUGUAUGGUGUAGCGGUGAAAUGCUUAGAGAUCAUACAGAACACCGAUUGCGAAGGCAGCUUACCAAGCUACGUCUGACGUUGAGGCACGAAAGCGUGGGGAGCAAACAGGAUUAGAUACCCCUGUAGUC